GGGGACGUAGUUCAGAUGGCAAAGCGCUCGCUUAGCAAGCGAAAGGUACGGGGAUUGAUAUCCCUCGUUUCCA
Molecule: non-coding RNA, 73 nt
Organism: Trichonephila clavata
Lineage: Eukaryota; Metazoa; Arthropoda; Arachnida; Araneae; Nephilidae
Source: the annotation of a GenBank genome assembly